This 73-nucleotide transfer RNA is filed under the name Felis catus (domestic cat). It matches the Rfam family "tRNA". Rfam says of the family: Transfer RNA (tRNA) molecules are approximately 80 nucleotides in length. RNAcentral also lists the same sequence under 3 other names. Lineage: Eukaryota; Metazoa; Chordata; Mammalia; Carnivora; Felidae. The record is from Rfam by way of RNAcentral.
UCCUGACGGGUUCAGUUGGAAGAACAUGUGACUCUUGAUCUCAGGGUCAUGGGUUUGAGCCCCAUGUUGGGCG